RNAcentral lists this microRNA (24 nucleotides) under Melibe leonina. Its description in RNAcentral is "mle-miR-12096b-3p". The record is from miRBase by way of RNAcentral. Lineage: Eukaryota; Metazoa; Mollusca; Gastropoda; Nudibranchia; Dendronotidae.
UAGGGCAAAAUUAUCACCGAUUAG